This 96-nucleotide transfer RNA is filed under the name Tsukamurella paurometabola. RNAcentral describes it as "tRNA-Sec". It matches the Rfam family "Selenocysteine transfer RNA". RNAcentral also lists the same sequence under 10 other names. The record is from RNAcentral. Lineage: Bacteria; Bacillati; Actinomycetota; Actinomycetes; Mycobacteriales; Tsukamurellaceae.
GGAGGUGUCCGGGUUCCUGGUGGGCCCCCCGGUCUUCAAAACCGGUGAGGUCGAGUAUCUCGGCCUGGCGGGUUCGAUUCCCGUCCACCUCCGCCA